RNAcentral lists this ribosomal RNA (253 nucleotides) under uncultured bacterium. Its description in RNAcentral is "partial 16S ribosomal RNA". It matches the Rfam family "Bacterial small subunit ribosomal RNA", at positions 524 to 776 of the family's 1533-position model. The record is from RNAcentral.
UACGAAGGGGGCUAGCGUUUUUCGGAUUUACUGGGCGUAAAGCGCACGUAGGCGGAUCGUUAAGUCGGGGGUGAAAUCCUGGAGCUCAACUCCAGAACUGCCUUCGAUACUGGCGAUCUUGAGUCCGGAAGAGGUGAGUGGAACUCCUAGUGUAGAGGUGGAAUUCGUAGAUAUUAGGAAGAACACCAGUGGCGAAGGCGGCUCACUGGUCCGGUACUGACGCUGAGGUGCGAAAGCGUGGGGAGCAAACAGG